GGCUCAUGUGGAUAGCACAGUUGGUUAGUGUGUGGUGUUGAUAAUGCCAAGGUUGCAGGUUCGAUCCCCGUAUGGGACA
Molecule: transfer RNA, 79 nt
Filed under: Podarcis lilfordi (Lilford's wall lizard)
Lineage: Eukaryota; Metazoa; Chordata; Lepidosauria; Squamata; Lacertidae
Description: tRNA.Ile
Rfam family: tRNA (bases 13-71)
About the family: Transfer RNA (tRNA) molecules are approximately 80 nucleotides in length. Their secondary structure includes four short double-helical elements and three loops (D, anti-codon, and T loops).
Source: RNAcentral